AACGAACGCUGGCGGCAGGCCUAACACAUGCAAGUCGAACGGUUCCUUCGGGGACAGUGGCAGACGGGUGAGUAACGCGUGGGAAUCUACCUUGUGGUACGGAGCAACCAAGGGAAACUUUGGCUAAUACCGUAUGAGCCCUUCGGGGGGAAGAUUUAUCGCCAUAAGAUGAGCCCGCGUAGGAUUAGCGAGUUGGUGAGGUAAAGGCUCACCAAGGCGACGAUCCUUAGCUGGUCUGAGAGGAUGACCAGCCACACUGGGACUGAGACACGGCCCAGACUCCUACGGGAGGCAGCAGUGGGGAAUAUUGGACAAUGGGCGCAAGCCUGAUCCAGCCAUGCCGCGUGUGUGAUGACGGCCUUAGGGUUGUAAAGCACUUUCGCCGAUGAAGAUAAUGACUGUAGUCGGAGAAGAAGCCCCGGCUAACUUCGUGCCAGCCGCCGCGGUAA
This 449-nucleotide ribosomal RNA is filed under the name uncultured bacterium. Its description in RNAcentral is "partial 16S ribosomal RNA". It matches the Rfam family "Bacterial small subunit ribosomal RNA", at positions 29 to 523 of the family's 1533-position model. The record is from RNAcentral.